UAAAAAGCUCUGGCAAUUAUGGGGCUGGGCGUGGACCUCUGGAAUCAGGCAGACAGUGAAGAGUGGUGAUGAA
RNAcentral lists this long non-coding RNA (73 nucleotides) under Numida meleagris (helmeted guineafowl). Its description in RNAcentral is "lncRNA (ENSNMEG00000000577.1)". The record is from RNAcentral. Lineage: Eukaryota; Metazoa; Chordata; Aves; Galliformes; Numididae.